GGUAGGGACAUUACCGAGUUUACAACUCCCAAACCCAAUGUGAACGUUACCAAACUGUUGCCUCGGCGGGAUCUCUGCCCCGGGUGCGUCGCAGCCCCGGACCAAGGCGCCCGCCGGAGGACCAACCAAAACUCUUUUUGUAUACCCCCUCGCGGGUUUUUUAUAAUCUGAGCCUUCUCGGCGCCUCUCGUAGGCGUUUCGAAAAUGAAUCAAAACUUUCAACAACGGAUCUCUUGGUUCUGGCAUCGAUGAAGAACGCAGCGAAAUGCGAUAAGUAAUGUGAAUUGCAGAAUUCAGUGAAUCAUCGAAUCUUUGAACGCACAUUGCGCCCGCCAGUAUUCUGGCGGGCAUGCCUGUCCGAGCGUCAUUUCAACCCUCGAACCCCUCCGGGGGGUCGGCGUUGGGGAUCGGCCCUGCCUCUUGGCGGCGGCCGUCUCCGAAAUACAGUGGCGGUCUCGCCGCAGCCUCUCCUGCGCAGUAGUUUGCACACUCGCAUCGGGAGCGCGGCGCGUCCACAGCCGUUAAACACCCAACUUCUGAAAUGUUGACCUCGGAUCAGGUAGGAAUACCCGCUGAACUUAAGCAUAUCAAAA
RNAcentral lists this ribosomal RNA (593 nucleotides) under Trichoderma harzianum. Its description in RNAcentral is "eukaryotic LSU rRNA". The stretch from base 214 to 367 matches the Rfam family "5.8S ribosomal RNA". The record is from RNAcentral. Lineage: Eukaryota; Fungi; Ascomycota; Sordariomycetes; Hypocreales; Hypocreaceae.